CCAAGAACUGCAAAUAAACACAUUACGCACAGAUCAUACGUAAAUUACGCACACAUUAUACACAUUAUAAACACAUUACGCACAGAUCAUACGUAAAUUACGCACACAUUAUACACAUUCUGAACACAUUACGCACAGAUCAUACGUAAAUUACGCACACACACAUUAUAAGCACAUCAUACAUGCAGCACGCCGGGGUCUGUGGGCGGAUUAUUUCAGUGUCUGGUGAACGGGACUAAUUUAGCAGACGCAUUGUUGGGUAGAAGUCAAGCUGCCAAAAAAAAUUACUUAAAGAUUCACGGAAGUUCACUUGGUUAUAGCAAUCGCAAGAAUAGCUUCAGAAUACAGUGUUAAGGUGCAGUGUUAAGGUGUGGUGUUAAGGUGUGGAUGAGUGUAUUGUUAAGGUGUGGGUGAGCGACGUGUUAGGGUGCAGUGUUAAGGCGUAGUGUUAAGGUGCGGGUGAGUGCAGUGUUUAGGGGCAGUGUUGAGGUGCGGUGUUAGGGUGUGGUGUUAAGGUGCAGUGUUAAGGCGCGGGUGAGUGCAGUGCUUAGGUGCAGUGUUAAGGUGCAGUGUUAAGGCACGGGUGAGUGCAGUGCUUAGGUGCAGUGUUAAGGCAUAGUGUUAAGGUGCGGGUGAAUGCAGAGUUAAGGCGCGGGUGAGUGCAGUGUUUAAGGGCAGUGUUAAGGUGCAGUGUUGAGGUGCAGUGUUAAGGCACGGGUGAGUGCAGUGCUUAGGUGCAGUGUUAAGGCAUGUGUGAGUGAAGUGCUUAGGUGCAGUGUUAAGGUGCAAUGUUGAGGUGCAGUGUUAAGGCACGGGUGAGUGCAGUGCUUAGGUGCAGUGUUAAGGCACGGGUGAGUGCAGUGCUUAGGUGCAGUGUUAAGGCAUAGUGUUAAGGUGCGGGUGAAUGCAGAGUUAAGGCGCGGGUGAGUGCAGUGUUUAAGGGCAGUGUUAAGGUGCAGUGUUGAGGUGCAGUGUUAAGGCACGGGUGAGUGCAGUGCUUAGGUGCAGUGUUAAGGCAUGUGUGAGUGAAGUGCUUAGGUGCAGUGUUAAGGUGCAAUGUUGAGGUGCAGUGUUAAGGCACGGGUGAGUGCAGUGCUUAGGUGCAGUGUUAAGGCACGGGUGAGUGCAGUGCUUAGGUGCAGUGUUAAGGCAUAGUGUUAAGGUGCGGGUGAAUGCAGAGUUAAGGCGCGGGUGAGUGCAGUGUUUAAGGGCAGUGUUAAGGUGCAGUGUUGAGGUGCAGUGUUAAGGCACGGGUGAGUGCAGUGCUUAGGUGCAGUGUUAAGGCAUGUGUGAGUGAAGUGCUUAGGUGCAGUGUUAAGGUGCGGUGUUAAGGUGUGUGUGACUCACGCAGGUGAAGAGCAGCGCUCCCAGGGACGCGUAGACGAUGUGCAGGAUCCGGUGGCGAAUGAAGAUGCAGAGGAAGGAGAAGAGCAGCAGCACGAUGAGGCAGACGAACAGGACCCCCCGACAGGAAGUGAAGUCGUAUUUGCUCUGUUUUAGGUCACAUGACAGGAACGGUUUCAUCAAAGUGAAAAAAGGAAAGGGUUUUUAUCAUAAUGCAGUUCUCACAUAAUGCUACUUGAGAACUACUGGAGAAGAUCUGGCUGCUAGUUCAGGUCUGAUCUGAACUAAAGAGUUCAGCCGUGUAGACAGCCUCAGGACAGAUUAGAGAGAGGAGUAACUCCACUCAUCACAGAGUGUAUGAGAGAGAGUGUGAGAGAGAGACUGAUCUGCAGAGAGAUGGGGAAGCGAGGGAGUGUGAGAGAGAGAGAGAGAGAGAGACUGACCUGCAGAGAGAAGAGGACCACAGUGAAGCACACUACAGCCGUGAUGCCCACAGCCAUGAUGACGGAGUCCGUGUCGUAGAAGCUGGCGAUCAUCCCCACCAUGUAGGACAGACUGAGCGUCAGGAUGGACUGCAGGACACACACAACAGCGUCUCAGUCAGCACCACAGAACAGCGUCUCAGUCAGCACCACAGAACAGCGUCUCCAAUCAGCACCACAGAACAGCGUCUCAGUCAGCACCACAGAGGGGGCCCGUGUCUGUGAUCCCGUCACUCUAGGGGCCCCGUGUCUGUAAUCACCCAAAGAGCCCCUUAUGUUUUAAUGUGCAAUAGUUCCUGUCAAAUAAACGAAUAAGUAAAAUUAAAUUAAA
Long non-coding RNA from Anguilla anguilla (European eel), 2157 nucleotides. RefSeq lists it as uncharacterized. The record is from RefSeq and is a predicted model, not a curated record. NCBI's taxonomy places the organism in Eukaryota, Metazoa, Chordata, Actinopteri, Anguilliformes, Anguillidae. The transcript has 2 exons.